RNAcentral lists this unclassified non-coding RNA (295 nucleotides) under Hevea brasiliensis (rubber tree). The record is from RNAcentral. Lineage: Eukaryota; Viridiplantae; Streptophyta; Magnoliopsida; Malpighiales; Euphorbiaceae.
UAUUAUUGUGUAUUCACAACCCGGAAUAAGACAGAUAGUCACAAAAGCAGAGCUAGACAAGACAAAUAUGAAUGAGAUUUUAACACAACCAAUAAACUAAAAAAAAAAAAGUGUGAGAAAGGAAGAAGCAUUUUGUCCAGGGGAGAAUAAUCCAUCUUGUCCUCGUAAACAGUCUCCCUCCGCAAAGUCAAUCCAGAAACAAGUAAUAAUUCUAUACAUCAGCGUGAAUAAAAGGAUAGGUCACCGACCAAGCCAACUUCUCUGGGACUGGACUUCUCCAUCAUUCAUCAGCUUA